CUGGAAUCUUGCUCUAAGCAAGCCUCUCUCAGGUCCCCAGGAAGCCCCAGCUUGGAGAGGGAAACACCACAGACAAGGUGAUGGGCCUGUCAGAGCUGCCCUCCAACUCUUCUUCUCCUGAGUUCUGCAGUGCCAACACCUGCCUCUGGAUGGUCCACAGAGCCUCAGACUCUGCCCGUUCACUCACUCACCCAACUAACUAGCAUCUCCAUAAAGGCCCCUAUUCUAGGCAUAGGGAGUGCAUAUAAAGGAGACCUAGACUCUGCCCUCAGCAAGCUCAAGGUCAGGGGGAAGAGCUCCUAAGCUAACAGUUCAAGGUGAUGAGCUAAAGGGAACUAAUGGGGAGGACUUCCUUGGGGAAAGGAGGUCUCAGCUGAGACCUGAGAAUGAGAAGAGUCAACUAGGCAGGGAGGUAGAGGAGAAGGCCCUGUGGGUGGAGACCAGCAUGCAGCAUUUGAUCUUCAUAGGAAGAGCUGGAGUUACCAUUCCCGAUAAGAAACAGGCCUGGAGAGUUGGGCCUGGAGAGUUAGGGACAGUCCUAUCCCAGUACCCAGUUCCUAUGCUCUAUCUGCUGCCUUCUAUUAAAAGAAGCAUGCAAAUAAUAUGCAAAAUACAUGCAAAUCACACACCCUCCUCGGCUCUGAGUCCUGCUCCAAGGGCUGUCUGGCUGUUGACUUAGGCCCCAGGACAACCUCUGGGAAGCCUUUAGUCCAGAACCCUCCCUUCAUUCCUGCCACACGAAGCCCCCAGCACUUCUGCCUUCAUUUUCUGCCCUUUUUCUCCCCCACCCCUUAAAUCCGGGCUCCAUUCCUGAGCUUUUGUCCCUGGGUGACUUUUUCAAUUCUCCUGGGUGCUAAUCCUCUCCACACUGCCCCUGGUUGACUUAGGAUGCCCUCCCUUGUACUCCUCCCUCCUGUCCUGCCUGUGGCCUGGUUGGGGACCCUUCUUAGCCUGCAGCUCUGCCACCUUUCCUUGCCCCUUCACACCCAAGGCCUCAGGGUCACCUCUGCUGAUUUGCCCCUGGUCCAUGCAGGGGCCACAUACCAGGCUUCUGCCAUGGCCAGGCUGAAGAGGGUGAACCUGUUUUCUGAGACAUCAGUGCGGUAGAAACCCCAGAACUGGCCCCUGGGACGUUUGGAGGAAGCAGAAAGGGGGUGUGGGGCAAC
Molecule: long non-coding RNA, 1166 nt
Filed under: Marmota monax (woodchuck)
Lineage: Eukaryota; Metazoa; Chordata; Mammalia; Rodentia; Sciuridae
Source: RNAcentral